AUGCAAGUCGAACGCGAAAGGUUCCUUCGGGAACCGAGUAGAGUGGCGUCCGGGUGAGUAACACGUGGGUAAUCUACCUUCGGGUGGGGAAUAACGACCGGAAACGGUCGCUAAUACCGCAUAAUGCAGCGGCACCUAAUGGUGACAGUUGUUAAAGCGGGGGAUCGCAAGACCUCGCGCCUGAAGAGGAGCCCGCGGCGGAUUAGCUAGUUGGCAGGGUAACGGCCUACCAAGGCGACGAUCCGUAGCCGGCCUGAGAGGGCGGUCGGCCACACUGGCACUGACACACGGGCCAGACUCCUACGGGAGGCAGCAGUCGGGAAUUUUGGGCAAUGGGCGAAAGCCUGACCCAGCAACGCCGCGUGAAGGAUGAAGCUUUUCGGAGUGUAAACUUCAUAAGAAUGGGACGAAUAAGGAGGGGUUAAUACCCCCUUUGAUGACGGUACCAUUUGUAAGCUCCGGCUAACUCCGUGCCAGCAGCCGCGGUAAUACGGGGGGAGCAAGCGUUGUUCGGAUUUACUGGGCGUAAAGGGCGCGUAGGCGGCGUAACAAGUCACUUGUGAAAUCUCCGGGCUUAACCCGGAGCGGCCAAGUGAUACUGUUGUGCUAGAGUGCGGAAGGGGCUACUGGAAUUCUCGGUGUAGCGGUGAAAUGCGUAGAUAUCGAGAGGAACACCUGCGGCGAAGGCGGGUAGCUGGGCCGACACUGACGCUGAGGCGCGAAAGCCAGGGGAGCGAACGGGAUUAGAUACCCCGGUAGUCCUGGCCUUAAACGAUGGAUACUUGGUGUCCGGGGUUACAUAGUCCCCCGGGUGCAGGCGCUAACGCAUUAAGUAUCCCGCCUGGGGAGUACGGUCGCAAAACUGAAACUCAAAGGAAUUGACGGGGAACCCGCACAAGCGGUGGA
This 906-nucleotide ribosomal RNA is filed under the name uncultured Bacillota bacterium. RNAcentral describes it as "bacterial SSU rRNA". It matches the Rfam family "Bacterial small subunit ribosomal RNA", at positions 55 to 936 of the family's 1533-position model. The record is from RNAcentral. Lineage: Bacteria; Bacillati; Bacillota.